RNAcentral lists this ribosomal RNA (470 nucleotides) under uncultured bacterium. Its description in RNAcentral is "bacterial SSU rRNA". It matches the Rfam family "Bacterial small subunit ribosomal RNA", at positions 328 to 795 of the family's 1533-position model. The record is from RNAcentral.
GGGCCAGACUCCUACGGGAGGCAGUAGUGAGGAAUAUUGGUCAAUGGGCGAGAGCCUGAACCAGCCAAGUCGCGUGAAGGAUGACGGCCCUACGGGUUGUAAACUUCUUUUGUCAGGGAGCAAUUGAGUCCACGUGUGGGCUUAGCGAGAGUACCUGAAGAAAAAGCAUCGGCUAACUCCGUGCCAGCAGCCGCGGUAAUACGGAGGAUGCGAGCGUUAUCCGGAUUUAUUGGGUUUAAAGGGUGCGUAGGCGGAAUAUCAAGUCAGCGGUAAAAAUUCGGGGCUCAACCCCGCCCAGCCGUCGGAACUGCCGGGCUAGAGUGGGCGAGAAGUGCGCGGAAUGCGUGGUGUAGCGGUGAAAUGCAUAGAUAUCACGCAGAACUCCGAUUGCGAAGGCAGCGCACCGGCGCCCUACUGACGCUCAGGCACGAAAGCGUGGGUAUCGAACAGGAUUAGAUACCCCAGUACUU